CCCAUGGCAACUGCUGCUUCAUGUCCCGAGGAAAGCCAAGGGUGGAAGAGUGCCUGUACAGCCUCUUCUACUUUCUUUUGGAACUUUACAAGGGAGUCACAUUCGCAGGGGUCCUCGUCUAUGGGAUCAGAAAGCACAAGUUCAGAUGUUAAUCUGCAGCUUCUUAGCAAUCUGGCUCAUAGCCUUGAAGUCGGCCGUGUAGAAGUAGUGCUCGC
This is a long non-coding RNA of Monopterus albus (swamp eel), 215 nucleotides long. RefSeq lists it as uncharacterized. Lineage: Eukaryota; Metazoa; Chordata; Actinopteri; Synbranchiformes; Synbranchidae. The record is from RefSeq and is a predicted model, not a curated record. The transcript has 3 exons.